Molecule: long non-coding RNA, 711 nt
Filed under: Lupinus mutabilis
Lineage: Eukaryota; Viridiplantae; Streptophyta; Magnoliopsida; Fabales; Fabaceae
Description: partial ncRNA
Source: RNAcentral
CAGCAAUGGAUACGUCAGAAUCAUGAGCUCAUAACAGGGUUGCUUCUGUCAAUAAUUUGUAAGUAACUUAUUGUUUGGGAUAACUAUGAAAUUGUUUCAAUAAUCAAUUAUUCUAUCUAUGAUUCAUGAUUGAUUAUAGUGUUAGUAUAUAUUAUAGAAUAAGUUUUGUGUUUACCGUGUUUGUUGAUGACUGGUUCUAAGAUAAUCUAUUUUGUUAUGAGUUUCUCAUAGAAAUGUCAUAUGCCUCUGUUCUGGCCUCUCUCUUUCUGUUGUCUAUGUUUUUGGUUUAUUGUGUCCUGGGUUGAUUAGACAGAUAUCUAUUAUUAAGGAGGCAUCUUGAGUUUUUCAUAUGCUAAUGUUGUAUGUUAAGAGAAAGCUUAAUAUAUUUUUUCGAUUUAAAAAAGCUUAUGAAAUUAUAAGGUCGUAACACGUAAUAAAAUGGAUAGAAAUGCACAUAAACACUUUCAUAAGAUAAACAUUUCUAAUACAGGCAGUAUGAUAAUGUAUGAUAGGAUUUGUGCAUGAAAUUCCUACGAACAUCUUACAUAGGGCUAACCUGGAAUUGCUUAUUAAUCCUAUGCACCUUUUCUGGUUUAUCACCUCCCUUUGGUUUGUUCUCUGGUCCCUUUUUAUGAUUUCCCUCACACUUGUACCUGAAUGAUGUUUUUUUGUGUGUUGAAGAGUAUGACAACCAAGUUGGUUUUUUGUGUA